AAUUAUGUUUUGCAAAGGAUGUCUUAGCUCAAUAGAUGAUAAAGAAUGUUGUGACAUGCAUUAUUAAUUGUGAAUUGCAGAAUUCCGUGAACCAACACGUUUUUGAAUGUUAUGUGCACCUUCGGGAUAUGCUUGGAGGCUUGCUUGAUUCAAUGCCAAC
Molecule: ribosomal RNA, 160 nt
Filed under: Alexandrium fraterculus
Lineage: Eukaryota; Dinophyceae; Gonyaulacales; Pyrocystaceae
Description: 5.8S ribosomal RNA
Rfam family: 5.8S ribosomal RNA
About the family: 5.8S ribosomal RNA (5.8S rRNA) is a component of the large subunit of the eukaryotic ribosome. It is transcribed by RNA polymerase I as part of the 45S precursor that also contains 18S and 28S rRNA.
Source: RNAcentral